Molecule: unclassified non-coding RNA, 191 nt
Filed under: uncultured fungus
Lineage: Eukaryota; Fungi
Description: sequence contains ITS1, 5.8S rRNA gene
Source: RNAcentral
UUAACUAUUAUAUAGUUCUCAGACGACACUAUAAUUCAGAAUUUGGGGUCCUCUGGCAGGCACUCACCAGCCGAAGCCGGUAGCCGAAGCGGCCUGCCAAAGCAACAAAAGUAUAGUACUCAAGGGGUGGGAGAUCUACCCGUAAGGGCAUGAACUCUGUAAUGAUCCUUCCGCAGGUUCACCUACGGAAA